GUUGUGCCCUUGAGGCGUGGCUUCCGGAGCUAACGCGUUAAAUCGACCGCCUGGGGAGUACGGCCGCAAGGUUAAAACUCAAAUGAAUUGACGGGGGCCCGCACAAGCGGUGGAGCAUGUGGUUUAAUUCGAUGCAACGCGAAGAACCUUACCUACUCUUGACAUCCAGAGAAUUCGCUAGAGAUAGCUUAGUGCCUUCGGGAACUCUGAGACAGGUGCUGCAUGGCUGUCGUCAGCUCGUGUUGUGAAAUGUUGGGUUAAGUCCCGCAACGAGCGCAACCCUUAUCCUUUGUUGCCAGCGAUUCGGUCGGGAACUCAAAGGAGACUGCCGGUGAUAAACCGGAGGAAGGUGGGGAUGACGUCAAGUCAUCAUGGCCCUUACGAGUAGGGCUACACACGUGCUACAAUGGCGUAUACAAAGAGAAGCGAACUCGCGAGAGCAAGCGGACCUCAUAAAGUACGUCGUAGUCCGGAUUGGAGUCUGCAACUCGACUCCAUGAAGUCGGAAUCGCUAGUAAUCGUAGAUCAGAAUGCUACGGUGAAUACGUUCCCGGGCCUUGCACUCACCGCCCGUCA
RNAcentral lists this ribosomal RNA (576 nucleotides) under Enterobacterales bacterium. RNAcentral's name for it is "bacterial SSU rRNA". It matches the Rfam family "Bacterial small subunit ribosomal RNA", at positions 823 to 1399 of the family's 1533-position model. The record is from RNAcentral. Lineage: Bacteria; Pseudomonadati; Pseudomonadota; Gammaproteobacteria; Enterobacterales.